Molecule: long non-coding RNA, 2754 nt
Organism: Triplophysa rosa
Lineage: Eukaryota; Metazoa; Chordata; Actinopteri; Cypriniformes; Nemacheilidae
Exons: 5
Source: RefSeq, a predicted model, not a curated record
AUUCUGCAGCGUGCACAUUUUAACAAAAUAUCUGUACAGACUCUUGUUUGCAACGAAAGCAGCAUACAUUUACAUUUUCGCAAAUCAACACAUUAGUGCCUUUUUACAUGUUAUCGAAUUUCAACUCGCUUAAAUACUUAAAAUCGUACAUGCCGAUAGUGUAACGUUGUGUGUUCGGGAAUUAGUGCUUGUGCCGUGUCUGAAAGACGAUAUUUACAGGAAAAACUCAUUACCUUGACCUUUUCAAAGACACACUGGCUCUCUUUGUUAAACAUACAUAUCCCAGACAUAGCAAGAUCUUCUUAAGUCAAUGCUGGCGUUGUAAUUUUAGUGGAAACACGGAUUUUAUACGAGUCGUGACUGCUAUAGUGAGUAAUAUGUGCGCGUUGGCUGCGUCAGGAGAUGCAGUCGCUGUGCGGUGCAGGCAGAAGGGGGAGAAUCGUGACUGACUGGAGACGUCCGCGAAUGAUGCGACCACCCAAUAAAAUCCUCAUAAUGGUGGCAUAUGCUUGAUUUUUCGUACACCUGUUACAUCUCAAUCCUCAUCUCUUUGCCUUUAGCCACCUCAACCUCCCCUUGCACCACGAAGGCACAAGAAGAAUAUCAGUGAUUAAGGGGAGGGAGGGGGAUCUUUGGCUUUGGGAUGCAUUUAGACGGGGGUGGGGGCUGUCCAGAUAUAGAUCGUGACCCUCCCACUUCGUAUAGUUUCUUGCUUAGAGUUCCAAGAAGGAAUGACCAGAGACCGUUGUGAAUUUUUUGACAAAUGAUCCAGCUGCAUAUGUCGCGUGGAUGCACGAAAAGAACUUCACGGGGAAGCGGCAAUGAACGACUCAAGCUGCCACCCAACUUUCCCCAUCAGUCCGCGCGCGCUGCUGCGAGCUCCGUCCAACUUCUUCAGUGUAACGUCAUUGAAAUCUGCUGAUGACAUAAGGUCCAGAAAAAGACGAAAUGUGACAAUGAACUAAGAACAUACCUCAGGGAAGGGAAAAUUAAGCAACGAAAAGUGGCUUUUAAGAGGGUUCACCUACAGACUGUGUCAAGCGUGAGAAAGGCCACAGUUAUGAGAAUACUGAGUUCCUAAGGUCAGGCAUCACAACCAGGACAUUGGAGACAGGAAAAAAAUGAAAAGGAUGAACAUCCAGGAAGCCUUGGGAUACUACCUUAGGAAUGUCUUGUGCACAAGAUUAACGUCAAACCAACGUCUGUUUGUGAGCUUUACACCUGUUAAUGGAAAUUCAGCAAGUUGAUUAUUUUAUAGGAGCAAGAUAACACCCUCAGGUAUUUAAAGUCUAUGUAUGUAAAGGUUUUUUGUAUAAACUGGACAGCUACGUUUCAGAUUAUUCAGAUAUCUGUCACGUGUACAUUUUGACAUAAAACGCAUGUGUUGUUUUGUUCUGUUGUAAUCUGCGAAUACAUUGACAUACACGUAGUCUGAUUUAAUACAGUUUUCUUUUGAACAUAUUGUGUACCAUUGCAAGAAAAAGUCUAUGUGUAUCUUAAAUUGCUUUUGUUGCGCGCGUGCUAAUAAAAUGCGCUCGCGUAACGUGAGAGCAAAACUCUGCUUGUGUAUAAUGUAAGAACAUGAGGGACAUAUAUAUGGAUACUUGUUUUCAGCAUGUGAGGAUUUAUAAUUGUGUGGGUGGUAGAUAUUUAAAAUAGUUUUCUGAUAGUUUGCUCGAAGAUGUUUAAAGGAAGUUUGAAGGUUUGAUGCAGUGUUGGUGCUGUUAGGGGUCCGCUGUCCACGUCUUGUCGUGCUGAAAUGUGCGAAACUGCUGACGUGACGACCUUAUUACUCAAAAUAAGCUUUUAACUAAAUGUUAUAUUUUAUUAAGCAGAUGUUUUUAUGCAUUUUGCCUCUGCAUAUGUAUAUUAAUGUGUAUAUUGUGUUGUGUACGUAUAUAGAAGUUUGAAUAAAAGUUGUAACUUUUUAGCAGUGGUCUCGACUAAAAUAAGACUGAGUGAUAACGUUGAGACCCCUUUGUUUUAAACUCUUAUCUGAGCAGUACAGGGACAAGGGAUAACAAAAUUGAAUAAAACAAAGAUCAGUGGCGUCGAGCUAGUUUUAGAAAUCGUCUGUGGUACGUAGGUUAGUGUGUGUACAAGACGAACACAGGAAUAUAAAUGAAAACGUGUGUUUGUUAAAAGAGUGACCGAGAGGUUGCGUGUGUAUGCGUCAGUGAGGAUGUGUUUGAAAAUUGUGAUUAGACAGUAUGCAUUAGUUUACUAGUACACGGACUGUUAAAAUAAAAUCUAAUCGAUAUUUUACGUCAGUCAUCAAAGUGUUACAAUAGCUAAAUGUAUACUGUGGUUUAAACAUUGACCUUAUACUGUGUAUCUUUAUUUGUGCUCUGCAUAUGUUUUUAAUGCUGUACUAUUGCUUUACCUUUUUAUGAUUAUUUUAAUUUAUAUGAAUAGUCUGUAGUGAACUGUAUAAAAGUAAGCGAGGCUGCUGUUUAAAGCAUGCAAUGUCGAAGACGUCGUAGCUGUAACUCUCGUGAGUGCAGCUGUUUUAUGUAUUUCUGGGUGUUUUUCUGAGUUGUGCAAUGCAAGGACACUGAGGAAAAAUAUAGUAAAUGAACUGUUUAAUUCUGACUAAUUGUUCUGUUAUUUCACUACAAGAAACAAAUGUUUUUGUGAUGUAGCAAAAUACGAACGCUCGUGUAUGCUUGACAAACAUAUACGACUGAAAUGAAUUGCCCAUUUUGCAGUCACGCUGCUGUCUUUGUUUCCUGACCCGUCAAAUAAAAAGUCUGU